AUACGGAGGGUGCAAGCGUUAUUCGGAAUCACUGGGCGUAAAGGGUGCGUAGGCGGUUUGAUAAGUCUGAUGUGAAAUCCUAUGGCUCAACUAUAGAACUGCAUUGGAAACUGUCAGACUAGAAUACUGAAGGGGCAGAUGGAAUUAGUGGUGUAGGGGUAAAAUCCGUAGAUAUCACUAGGAAUACCGAAAGCGAAAGCGAUCUGCUGGGAAGUUAUUGACGCUGAGGCACGAAAGCGUGGGGAGCAAACGGGAUUAGAAACCCUAGUAGUCC
This 274-nucleotide ribosomal RNA is filed under the name uncultured bacterium. RNAcentral describes it as "partial 16S ribosomal RNA". It matches the Rfam family "Bacterial small subunit ribosomal RNA", at positions 523 to 796 of the family's 1533-position model. The record is from RNAcentral.